CUGGGGGACGCGUGAGCGCGAGCCGCUUCCUCACGGCUCGGCCGCGGCGCGUAGCCCCCGCCACAUCGGGCCUGGCUCUCCUCAGCCGCCGGCUCGGCUCGGUGCGCGCGGGGGUCUUGAGCUCACCGCCGGCGGGGCGGGGUUACAUGGCGCGCGAGGAGGGGGGAGAGAAGAGGAGAGCCUAGGUGCCCUCCUCUCCCCUCCCCCCCGGCGGCGGCGCGCGCACGGCCCUCGCCGGCCUCACCCCUCCGCACCCCGCCCGCCUGCUCUUCACCGGCCAGGCCCUGCCGGGUCGCCGCGGCCUCGGCGCCCCACCCCCUCCCGGGCCAGCGGGGGGCUGGGAGGGGGCGAGGAGGAAGGGGGUUCUCCUCUCCCCUCCCCGGAGGGGGCCGCAGCGGCGGCUCCGGCUCCUCCUCUCCCUCACACCCCCUCCCGCCCCCCUCUACCUGCGGGGGACACGGGCAGAAGGAGGCGGUGCACGGACGGGGCCCGGCGACAACUGUCAGUUAGAAGCCCCGCUGGGCGGUGAGGGGGGAGAAAGGGGAGGGGCAGGGAGAGAAGGGGGAGGGCACUCAGCCCCCCGGCUGGGAAGAGCUGUGGAGAGAAGCAAAGAAAGAGGCCCUGUCGCCAUCCCCGG
Molecule: long non-coding RNA, 637 nt
Filed under: Homo sapiens (human)
Lineage: Eukaryota; Metazoa; Chordata; Mammalia; Primates; Hominidae
Description: HSALNT0146363
Source: RNAcentral